GGGAUGUAAAAGACAAAGUCCUACUCUCAUCGAGCUUAUGUUAAAGUGGGGAAACGGACAAGCAAAUAGUUGCAGGUCCUUCUAGUUGUGGGAUGUGGGACGCCGCCUCAACGUGGCCUGACGAGCGGUGCCAUGUCUGCACCCAGGAUCCGAACCCUGGGACGCCGCAGCGGAGCGCGCGAACUUAAGCACUCGGCCAUGGGGCCGGCACCUCAGCUUGUAUGCUUUGACGAAGCAAGCCAUCAUGUUCAUGAGACUCACAUGGCAAGGAACUGAGGGUGGACUCUGACCAACAGCCAACAAAGAACUGAAGUCCAACAGCCUACAAGGAACUGAAUCCUGCCAAUAGCUACAUGAGCCCAAAUGUAUUUUCUUCCCCAUUUGAGCCUUCAAGUGAGUACAGCCUAACCAACACCUUGAUUGCAGCCUGUGAGAGACCUUGGAACAGAGAAAGGACUCAGGUAAGCCAUGCCCAGAUUUCUGACCCAC
Molecule: long non-coding RNA, 489 nt
Filed under: Equus caballus (horse)
Lineage: Eukaryota; Metazoa; Chordata; Mammalia; Perissodactyla; Equidae
Description: lncRNA (ENSECAG00000051556.1)
Source: RNAcentral